GKUACACACCGCCCGUCGCUGCUACCGAUUGGAUGAUCCGGUGAAAUCCUCGGACUGAAGUARUKAUCUAGCAGCAAUGUUAGAURYURUUUUGGGAAGUUGAUUAAACCUUAUCAUCUAGAGGAAGCAAAAGUCGUAACAAGGUUUCCGUAGGUGAACCUGCAGAAGGAUCA
This 173-nucleotide ribosomal RNA is filed under the name uncultured eukaryote. RNAcentral's name for it is "partial small subunit ribosomal RNA". The record is from RNAcentral.